UACGGAGGAUGCGAGCGUUUUCCGGAUUUAUUGGGUUUAAAGGGUGCGUAGGCGGACUGUCAAGUCAGCGGUAAAAUUGAGAGGCUCAACCUCUUCCCGCCGUUGAAACUGGUGGUCUUGAGUGGAUGAGAAGUACGCGGAAUGCGUGGUGUAGCGGUGAAAUGCAUAGAUAUCACGCAGAACUCCGAUUGCGAAGGCAGCGUACCGGCAUCCAACUGACGCUGAGGCACGAAAGCGUGGGGAUCAAACAGG
RNAcentral lists this ribosomal RNA (252 nucleotides) under uncultured bacterium. RNAcentral's name for it is "partial 16S ribosomal RNA". It matches the Rfam family "Bacterial small subunit ribosomal RNA", at positions 524 to 776 of the family's 1533-position model. The record is from RNAcentral.